GCGGCGGCUCAGUGGCCGCGGCGGGCGCGGGCGGGACGCGGUGCGGCGCCGCGGGCUGCCGGGCUUGGCCGUGCCGCGGACCGGCGAGCGGCGGCAGCGCGUCCCGGUACCCUCACCGUCUGGCCGGGAAACUUUUCCGCGGGCGCCCGGCAGGGGGCAAGGGGACAGGAGCCUUUAAGAUGAAUACCACAGCAAUUAGCCCACUCACUGUUACUCCCCUAGGUUUUGUUCCAGACUUAAAAAAUGCCACCCUUGUGCCUUUCAAUGAGACUGCAUGUGAAAACUGGAGAGAGAUUCAUCAUCUUGUUUUCCAUGUGGCAAAUAUUUGUUUUGCAAUUGGACUAGUUAUUCCAACUACUCUGAAUCUUCAUAUGAUUUUUCUGCGAGGCCUGCUGACCAUAGGAUGUGCGUUGUUCAUCAUUUGGGCUACACUCUACCGUUGUGCCUUGGACAUAAUGAUCUGGAAUUCUGUUUUUUUAGUUGUCAACCUUUUACAUUUUAUAUACCUAGUGUAUAAGAGAAGACCGAUCAAGAUAGAGAAGGAGCUUAGCAGUCUCUACAAGAGAAUGUUUGAACCACUGCAUGUGCCUCCAGAGCUGUUCCAAAGAUUAACUGGACAAUUCUGCAAUAUUCAGACUUUAAAGACAGGUCAAGCUUAUGCUGCAGAGGAUAAAACAUCAGUUGAUGAUAGACUAAGCAUCCUGCUGAAGGGGAAAAUGAAGGUCUCUUAUCGAGGGCAUUUUCUGCAUAAUAUUUACCCCUGUGCCUUUAUAGAUUCUCCUGAAUUUCGAUCAACUCAGAUGAAUCGGGGUGAGAAAUUCCAGGUCACCAUUAUUGCAGAUGAUAACUGCAAGUUCCUGUGCUGGUCCAGGGAAAGGCUGACUUUUUUUCUGGAAUCUGAGCCAUUUCUUUAUGAGAUCUUUAGAUAUCUCAUUGGCAAAGAUAUUACAAAUAAACUCUACUCAUUGAAUGAUCCAACUUUAAAUGACAAGGCCUCAAAAAAGAUUGAUCGGCAGCCUAGUCUCUGCUCACAGCUCUCUGUGAUGCAGAUGAGAAACAGCAUGGCCAGUACCAGUGACAGUGAAGAUGGCUUACAGAUGUUUCUCCGUGGGACUUCCUCUGCAUCCUCUCUUCUGCUCAUCCAAGAACUCCUUCAGGCUUGGAGGGCCAAUCUCUUUCCUCUCCUUACCGUUGAUAUAAUCUGCAUUCCCAAAUAGACGGAAGCAAAAGCCCUGCUAGUGUUUCACCCUGCUAGAAUGUUGAGAGUGACAGCUGGGAUAUAGUUGUUAAAGACUGGUGAAAAUUCUAGCUUUAUUUUCUUUUUCUCCUCUGUUCCCUGAAAGGACAUUUAGAAUCACAGAAUAAUUGAAGUAUGAAAGGACCUCUGCAGAUUGUCUAGCCCAAAAUCCUGCUCAAAGCAGGGCCAACUAAAGCAGGUUGCUCAGGAGCAUGUCCACUAAAGCUUUGAAUAUUUCCAAGGCUGAAGGUUCCACAGCCUCUCUGAGCAACCUGUUCCAGUGCCUGACUACCCUUGUGAAAAAUUUUUCCUUGUAUGUAUUCUGAAUUUCUUUUAUCACAACCCAUGACCGUUGUCCCCUGUUCUUUAGUGCAUGCCUCUGAGAAGAGUUUGACUCUGUCUUCUUUAUAACCUCCUGUUAGGUAGCUGAAGAUAGCAGUAAGAUCACCUGUGAGCCUUUUCUUCAUAAGGCUGAACAAACCAGUUCUCUCAGCCUCUCUGUGUAUGUCAUGUGCUUCAGCCCGUGACCAUCUUGGUUGCCCUCCACUGCACUCAGAUGACAGGUCCAGCAGAGUGCCUCCCAUAAUUGGCUCAUCAAUCACCUGUGUGAAGAAAUCAUCCUCAUUCAGAAAUCUCCUGGACUGCUUACACCAAGCCCUUUCUACCAGAUAUCAGGGUGGUUAAAGUUCCCCACAAGUACCAAGGCCUGCGAUCAUGAGGUUUCAUCCAGUUGUCUAAAGAAGGCUUCAGUCUACUUCCUCUUCUUUAUCAGGCAGCCUGUAGCAGAUACCUACCAUGAAGUCUGCCAUGUUGGUGUGUCCUCAGAUAUUUACUCAUAAGGUGUCGACUGGCUUUUCACCUGUUCCAAGGCAAAGCUCCAUGCCUUCAAGCCGCUCCUUUGCAUAGAGUGCACUUGGACAGAUCUACUCACUUGGAAGCCUGAAAGAAAUUGUAAAACUGUAUUUGUGCAAUUAGCUAGAAUUGAAAUUCUCUUUCAGGCUUAGCAGCAGAACACUUGCACCACUAUUUCAGCUUUGGGAGAAAGUAAUCUAAAUGUAUGCAAUUUUAAGCCAUAAUUACAUUAAUCCCUAAGAUGCAUCUAUUCUUAGCACAUACUUGAUAAACACACUACUCUAUUAUACUUCUUUUUUAUAUAUAUACUAUAUUUUCUUGUGUUUGCUGUGUACUUUCCCCCAAAAGGGUGUUUAAAUGUCUCUAAUGUUGUGAAAUUACCUGCCGCAGCAGCUGUUGGUGUUGAUACUGCCACCACACCAUUGGCAACAAUGGAUGUGGUAGCAACCUCCAGAGUCCAAUUUUUCACUUAUUUUGGGGAAGGCAGGGAGGGUACCCAUAUAGCAGUGUAUGACACACCUCAGGAAAUAUGGUCAUUUAUUUUUCUUUGCCUUUUGAUUAAUGCAAAAUUUCUGACUUCCAUGCUUCUGACUUGAUAAAAGAUUGUAUAUUUCACCAAGCUGUAAUGCUUCAAUUUUUCUUUUUGCUGAAAUAGCUGGUUAGUCUGUUACUCCUACGUAAUGUCAUUGCCAAUGAUGGGUUUCCUAUCAAGGUGAGCUCUGCCUGAAGAUUGGUAUUGAUACCGUACUGUAGCCGUGUCUGCACUUUUCUUCAGAGUCCAGAGAAAACUGAGGAAAAAAAGCUGCCAUUUAACUUAACCCUAUUGUGUUUUUAAAAAAAUUUUCCUGGAUGCUGCAUAGUCAGUCAGCUUUUGUAUUUUUUAGAAUUUGGUAUGAGGUACCUGCUGAAGCACGCUGUCCCAGUGCUGUAUUGUAUCCUCCUUCUGCAGCCAUGAAUUAGUUUGUUAAAAGCAAAAAAAAAAAAAAAAAAAAAAAAGAGAAACAUAGAAUUUUAGAUUUUAGUGAGGAGCAUAUGGAAAUGACAUAUCUCCUUUUUAGAAAAAAAUAAACGUAUAUGUACAGGA
Molecule: RNA transcript, 3173 nt
Organism: Dromaius novaehollandiae (emu)
Lineage: Eukaryota; Metazoa; Chordata; Aves; Casuariiformes; Dromaiidae
Gene: POPDC1
Gene name: blood vessel epicardial substance
Exons: 9
Source: RefSeq, a predicted model, not a curated record